AUGGCAACUUGCUUAUCUGAUCUGAUUAGAGAUUAUUGCUUAGACUUUAUUGGUAUUCAGGAAACAAUGAAGAAGGAUUUUUCCUCUAAAUUCUUGAGGAAAAUUGAUCCAGGGCAGUAUUUUGAUUGGAGGUGGAUCCCUUCAAUAGGCAAAUCUGGGGGAAUUCUUUGUGGUACUAAAGAUGAUACUUUUGAGGUUAGAUCCUGUGUGACAGGUAAAUAUAUCAUGAAGCUUGACUUAUGGGAUAAGAGGAAAAAAGUGUUAUAUUGUAUUCUGGUAGUGUAUGGCUCUACUCAUGAAGAGUAUAAAAUAGAAUUUUUGACAGAGAUGUCUGAUAUGUGUAGCAGCACUACUUGCCCUUACAUUGUAGGGGGAGACUUUAAUAUUCUUAGAUAUGCUAAGGAGAAAAAUAAGAAAACCAGAAUGAGUCAUGCUACUGAUCUCUUUAACUCUAUCAUUAAUACAUUCGGUCUCAGGGAAGUUGACAUGAAUGGUGGUAUAUACACUUGGUCUAAUAAUCAACAAAUGCCUACCCUUGAAAAAUUGGACCGUAUACUUAUGUCCAGUUCUUGGGAAAGGCAGUUUUCUUUGACUUUUGUCAGGAAACUAACUAGAGAGAUUUCAGAUCAUAGCCCUUUGAUCUUGAAUACUUAA
RNAcentral lists this ribosomal RNA (654 nucleotides) under Triticum aestivum (bread wheat). Its description in RNAcentral is "partial small subunit ribosomal RNA". The record is from RNAcentral. Lineage: Eukaryota; Viridiplantae; Streptophyta; Magnoliopsida; Poales; Poaceae.